GGUGAUAAAUGUGGGACUUCUCAGAAGU
This 28-nucleotide non-coding RNA is filed under the name Cricetulus griseus (Chinese hamster). Lineage: Eukaryota; Metazoa; Chordata; Mammalia; Rodentia; Cricetidae. The record is from RNAcentral.